Molecule: long non-coding RNA, 447 nt
Filed under: Mytilus galloprovincialis (Mediterranean mussel)
Lineage: Eukaryota; Metazoa; Mollusca; Bivalvia; Mytilida; Mytilidae
Source: RNAcentral
CUCGUAGCUUCAUACUACCAAUUGAGUAUAAAACAAGUAUAUAAGUUUAAAAAAGAAAUUCUUAGAUUAAACACCUACAUUUAACUUUAAAAGGUCAUAACAGUUUAAAACAAUACAAAUCUACACACACACAAAAACUGGCUUAAUUUCAACUGGUUAUCAACCCGAAUCGCUAUAAGAUCAUAUAUAAGCUCACCUGUGUCGAGGGGUCGUGUGAGGUUCAUGUAUUGUCUUGGCGUCCGCAAUUACAAAAAGAUCUUUUCUGAAAUUACUUGACCAAAUGUUACCAAAUGAUUUUUCAAGAGUGAAUCUAGGAAAAACAAUAUUCAUCAACAAACAUGACCACUGUCUGUUAAAAUGUAUUCGAGUUUUUAGUUACAGCCGAUUCCAUUGAGUAUGUAGGCAAAGGUAAUAUCUUUGGUUAGCUUGCUUGUUAGCUAAACCGUG